UGCAGUCGACGGCAGCACGGGUGCUUGCACCGUGGUGGCGAGUGGCGAACGGGUGAGUAAUACAUCGGAACAUGUCCUGUAGUGGGGGAUAGCCCGGCGAAAGCCGGAUUAAUACCGCAUACGAUCUACGGAUGAAAGCGGGGGACCUUCGGGCCUCGCGCUAUAGGGUUGGCCGAUGGCUGAUUAGCUAGUUGGUGGGGUAAAGGCCUACCAAGGCGACGAUCAGUAGCUGGUCUGAGAGGACGACCAGCCACACUGGGACUGAGACACGGCCCAGACUCCUACGGGAGGCAGCAGUGGGGAAUUUUGGACAAUGGGCGAAAGCCUGAUCCAGCAAUGCCGCGUGUGUGAAGAAGGCCUUCGGGUUGUAAAGCACUUUUGUCCGGAAAGAAAUCCUUGGCUCUAAUACAGUCGGGGGAUGACGGUACCGGAAGAAUAAGCACCGGCUAACUACGUGCCAGCAGCCGCGGUAAUACGUAGGGUGCGAGCGUUAAUCGGAAUUACUGGGCGUAAAGCGUGCGCAGGCGGUUUGCUAAGACCGAUGUGAAAUCCCCGGGCUCAACCUGGGAACUGCAUUGGUGACUGGCAGGCUAGAGUAUGGCAGAGGGGGGUAGAAUUCCACGUGUAGCAGUGAAAUGCGUAGAGAUGUGGAGGAAUACCGAUGGCGAAGG
Molecule: ribosomal RNA, 671 nt
Filed under: Burkholderia sp.
Lineage: Bacteria; Pseudomonadati; Pseudomonadota; Betaproteobacteria; Burkholderiales; Burkholderiaceae
Description: bacterial SSU rRNA
Rfam family: Bacterial small subunit ribosomal RNA
Source: RNAcentral